Molecule: ribosomal RNA, 484 nt
Filed under: uncultured bacterium
Lineage: Bacteria
Description: partial 16S ribosomal RNA
Rfam family: Bacterial small subunit ribosomal RNA
Source: RNAcentral
AUUGAACGCUGGCGGCAGGCCUAACACAUGCAAGUCGAGCGGAUGAAGGGAGCUUGCUCCUGGAUUCAGCGGCGGACGGGUGAGUAAUGCCUAGGAAUCUGCCUGGUAGUGGGGGAUAACGUCCGGAAACGGGCGCUAAUACCGCAUACGUCCUGAGGGAGAAAGUGGGGGAUCUUCGGACCUCACGCUAUCAGAUGAGCCUAGGUCGGAUUAGCUAGUUGGUGGGGUAAAGGCCUACCAAGGCGACGAUCCGUAACUGGUCUGAGAGGAUGAUCAGUCACACUGGAACUGAGACACGGUCCAGACUCCUACGGGAGGCAGCAGUGGGGAAUAUUGGACAAUGGGCGAAAGCCUGAUCCAGCCAUGCCGCGUGUGUGAAGAAGGUCUUCGGAUUGUAAAGCACUUUAAGUUGGGAGGAAGGGCAGUAAGUUAAUACCUUGCUGUUUUGACGUUACCAACAGAAUAAGCUCCGGCUAACUUCGUA